GAUGAACGCUGGCGGCGUGCCUAAUACAUGCAAGUCGAGCGAACAGAUGAGGAGCUUGCUCCUCUGACGUUAGCGGCGGACGGGUGAGUAACACGUGGAUAACCUACCUAUAAGACUGGGAUAACUUCGGGAAACCGGAGCUAAUACCGGAUAAUAUAUUGAACCGCAUGGUUCAAUAGUGAAAGACGGUUUUGCUGUCACUUAUAGAUGGAUCCGCGCCGCAUUAGCUAGUUGGUAAGGUAACGGCUUACCAAGGCAACGAUGCGUAGCCGACCUGAGAGGGUGAUCGGCCACACUGGAACUGAGACACGGUCCAGACUCCUACGGGAGGCAGCAGUAGGGAAUCUUCCGCAAAGGGCGAAAGCCUGACGGAGCAACGCCGCGUGAGUGAUGAAGGUCUUCGGAUCGUAAAACUCUGUUAGUAGGGAAGAACAAAUGUGUAAGUAACUAUGCACGUCUUGACGGUACCUAAUCAGAAAGCCACGGCUAACUACGUG
This 497-nucleotide ribosomal RNA is filed under the name uncultured bacterium. Its description in RNAcentral is "partial 16S ribosomal RNA". It matches the Rfam family "Bacterial small subunit ribosomal RNA", at positions 28 to 507 of the family's 1533-position model. The record is from RNAcentral.